This 206-nucleotide unclassified non-coding RNA is filed under the name Hevea brasiliensis (rubber tree). The record is from RNAcentral. Lineage: Eukaryota; Viridiplantae; Streptophyta; Magnoliopsida; Malpighiales; Euphorbiaceae.
GCCUCUCUGUGUUCAAACCUCUCACUAGUAAUUGUAAGCUCAUCUUUCCCAGGAUGAUAGCGUUUGCCAACCAACUCCUUCAGUCGACGAAACUGGUACUUUGAUAAACCAAGCUCCUUCACAGUAACAGAUAAUUUUACUUUUCGGUUUUUGGGAUGCCAUGCAUCCCCACCUGGUGCAAACACAACCCUUGUUUGCCACCUAAG